UGCUCCUGCCCUUGACAUGCUCACGAAGGACACAGGGGCUACCAGAGCCCAGGGAGGGGCAGGCAGAGGCUCCAGAGGGGAGGCGCCCUUUGAGCUGGACUUCAAAGAUGCAUGUGUUCAAUCACCAGUGCAGGCCUUAUCAGUGCCGGGGACCCACCGGGGAGGCACUCCUGUCACCCACACUGUGCAGAUAAGGAAACUGAGGCUUGGCCAGAGGAAGCGACUUGAACCCUCUUCGCAUCUGGGUAGCUUGCUCUCUCUUCUGCGUGCCCAGGACAUUUAUGCGCCACUCCAUCCUGGUUCAUUGUCCAUCUCCGGAGGGCAAGGACUGCACCCGAGCACAGAAAAAUAUACACAGAGCAGCGCGGAUCACGUUGUUGGCGUUGAGCGCAACGUUACCAGCCCCAC
Molecule: long non-coding RNA, 408 nt
Organism: Leptonychotes weddellii (Weddell seal)
Lineage: Eukaryota; Metazoa; Chordata; Mammalia; Carnivora; Phocidae
Source: RefSeq, a predicted model, not a curated record